RNAcentral lists this transfer RNA (77 nucleotides) under Lutibacter sp. RNAcentral describes it as "tRNA-Met". Lineage: Bacteria; Pseudomonadati; Bacteroidota; Flavobacteriia; Flavobacteriales; Flavobacteriaceae. RNAcentral also lists the same sequence under 1 other name. The record is from RNAcentral.
UGCAGGGAGGAUGUUGGUAUUCCGGUCUUGUCUCAUAAGCAAGUGCUUCAUCAGUUCAAUUCUGAUCCCUGCAUCCA